RNAcentral lists this long non-coding RNA (260 nucleotides) under Trifolium pratense (red clover). RNAcentral describes it as "long non-coding RNA (TPRA_LNC002540)". Lineage: Eukaryota; Viridiplantae; Streptophyta; Magnoliopsida; Fabales; Fabaceae. The record is from RNAcentral.
GGUUGAAAAGUGUGAACUACUUGAAUAUGUCUUGCGGGAACGAUUGUGCAAUUGAGCAUCGUUUGCAGGUGGAUCAUUGAUCAUCAGGUGAUUCUCACGUAUGUAUGAUUCGAGUGAAUUUAAGGAAAAUGCCAAGGUCUUGACACAAAAGCUUGAGGUAAAAGUUGUUUCCUUGAGGACAAGGAAAGGUUUAAGUUUGGGGUUGUGAUGACGAAUUGUCACACUCUCUAAUCCAGGCCUAUUUUAGCAACAUUAAAUGC